This 235-nucleotide unclassified non-coding RNA is filed under the name uncultured fungus. RNAcentral's name for it is "sequence contains ITS1". Lineage: Eukaryota; Fungi. The record is from RNAcentral.
UUUUCAUUGCUUGUUUAUCUGACGACACAAAUUCAGAGUAUGAGAACUCCGGCGAGUUCGCGCCGGCAGAAUUGAUCUUCCGCCAACGGCUGUUUCCAACGUCUCGCCGAAGCAACGUCGGAUGGUCAAGGGUGGGAGUUCCUGAAGCAGGAAGACUCGGUAAUGAUCCUUCCGCAGGUUCACUGUGGAUGUUAGUUGGAUUUGAUAAUCAGACGAAGAACUUACCCUACGGAAA